AUUAGAUGAGCCUAUAUUAGAUUAGCUAGUUGGUGGAGUAAUAGCCUACCAAGGCAAUGAUCUAUAGCUGAUCUGAGAGGAUGAUCAGCCACACUGGAACUGAGAUACGGUCCAGACUCCUACGGGAGGCAGCAGUGGGGAAUAUUGGACAAUGGGCGAAAGCCUGAUCCAGCCAUGCCGCAUGAGUGAAGAAGGCCUUUGGGUUGUGAAGCUCUUUUAGUGAGGAAGAUAAUGACGGUACUCACAGAAGAAGUCCUGGCUAACUCCGUGCCAGCAGCCGCGGUAAUACGGAGAGGGCUAGCGUUAUUCGGAAUUAUUGGGCGUAAAGGGCGCGUAGGCUGAUUAAUAAGUUAAAAGUGAAAUCCCGAGGCUUAACCUUGGAAUUGCUUUUAAAACUAUUAAUCUAGAGAUUGAAAGAGGAUAGAGGAAUUCCUGAUGUAGAGGUAAAAUUCGUAAAUAUUAGGAGGAACACCAGUGGCGAAGGCGUCUAUCUGGUUCAAAUCUGACGCUGAAGCGCGAAGGCGUGGGGAGCAAACAGGAUUAGAUACCCUGGUAGUCCACGCUGUAAACGAUGAAUGUUAAAUAUGGGAAG
Molecule: ribosomal RNA, 592 nt
Filed under: Wolbachia endosymbiont of Bemisia tabaci
Lineage: Bacteria; Pseudomonadati; Pseudomonadota; Alphaproteobacteria; Rickettsiales; Anaplasmataceae
Description: bacterial SSU rRNA
Rfam family: Bacterial small subunit ribosomal RNA
Source: RNAcentral